GGAUGUGAGGGCGAUCUGGCUGCGAUGUCUGUCACCCCAUUGAUCGCCAGGGUUGAUUUGGCUUAUCUGGCUGGCUAGGCGGGUCUCCCCUUCCUCCCUCAACGCUCCAUGUGCUUCCCUCCCGAAGCUGAGUGCUUGGUCGAAGAGGACGACCACCCCCCGAUGGAGGAGGACCGUUCCUCGGUCAAGGGUACAGGAGUAACUGCGCUCCCUGCUAGAACCUCCAAGUAAGCUCUCAAGAAACUAACGAACUAAAUUCCAGAAAGUCAUGACGUCUUUAUUGGAGUUCAGAGACUUAUAGAUACUUCUUCUAUCUUUCUGAAUAGUAGGAAGAGGACAAAUCUACCAG
RNAcentral lists this small nuclear RNA (349 nucleotides) under Chinchilla lanigera (long-tailed chinchilla). Its description in RNAcentral is "7SK RNA (ENSCLAG00000021597.1)". It matches the Rfam family "7SK RNA". Rfam says of the family: 7SK was discovered as an abundant small nuclear RNA in the mid-70s but a possible function has only recently been suggested. Two independent studies have found that 7SK RNA binds the CDK9/cyclin T complex (known as elongation factor P-TEFb). The record is from RNAcentral. Lineage: Eukaryota; Metazoa; Chordata; Mammalia; Rodentia; Chinchillidae.